UGAGGAACAUUGGGCAAUGCCCGCAAGGGUGACCCAGCAACGCCGCGUGGAGGAUGAAUGUCGUAAGAUUGUAAACUCCUGUUAGAGGGGAAGAAUAGUACCGGUUGGACCGGUAUAUGACUGUACCCUCAGAGAAAGCCCCGGCUAACUACGUGCCAGCAGCCGCGGGAAUACGCAGGGGGCAAGCGUUGUCCGGAUUUACUGGGUGUAAAGGGCGCGCAGGCGGGAUAAAAAGUCAGUGGUGAAAUCCUACAGCUUAACUGUAAAACUGCCUUUGAUACUUUUAUUCGUGAGUUCGGGAGAGGGGGGCGGAAUUCCAGGUGUAGUGGUGAAAUACGUAGAUAUCUGGAAGAACACCAGUUGCGAAGGCGGUCUCUUGGUCCGACACUGACGCUGAGGCGCGAAAGCGUGGG
RNAcentral lists this ribosomal RNA (413 nucleotides) under uncultured bacterium. RNAcentral describes it as "bacterial SSU rRNA". It matches the Rfam family "Bacterial small subunit ribosomal RNA", at positions 355 to 765 of the family's 1533-position model. The record is from RNAcentral.